Molecule: ribosomal RNA, 492 nt
Filed under: uncultured bacterium
Lineage: Bacteria
Description: partial 16S ribosomal RNA
Rfam family: Bacterial small subunit ribosomal RNA
Source: RNAcentral
AUUGAACGCUGGCGGCAUGCUUUACACAUGCAAGUCGAACGGUAACAGGCCUUCGGGUGCUGACGAGUGGCGAACGGGUGAGUAAUGCAUCGGAACGUACCCAGAGGUGGGGGAUAACGCAGCGAAAGCUGUGCUAAUACCGCAUGUGAUCUGAGGAUGAAAGCGGGGGACCGAGCAGCAAUGUUUGGCCUCGCGCCUUUGGAGCGGCCGAUGUCGGAUUAGCUAGUUGGUGGGGUAAAGGCCUACCAAGGCGACGAUCCGUAGCUGGUCUGAGAGCACGACCAGCCACACUGUGACUGAGACACGGCCCAGACUCCUACGGGAGGCAGCAGUGGGGAAUUUUGGACAAUGGGCGCGAGCCUGAUCCAGCAAUGCCGCGUGCGGGAAGAAGGCCUUCGGGUUGUAAACCGCUUUUGGCAGGAACGAAACGGUGUCCGCUAAUACCGGGCGCUAAUGACGGUACCUGCAGAAUAAGCACCGGCUAACUACGUG